GGAGCCACGCUCCAGACAGGCCGCCGCUCCGGAGCGAGCCCGGGAGCCCGCCCGCGCCGGGACUUGCAGUUCGUCUCCGAUCCCCUGGGGAUUUAAACCUUCUUGCAUAUAUAUAUAUCUAUAUAUAUAAUUUUUUUUCCAUCCUUCUUUUUCUCCCGUGCAAAGUGGAGAAGGAACUGCACCAAGGCGGCCCGCGAGAUCUUGCAAUAUUGCUCCGAUUUACCACUGCUAUUAUUCGUAAUUAAUUAUUAUUUUUAACCUCACCCCAGCCGGGGAGGGAAAGCGGGACCAUUCCCAGCAAGAGAACCAUUUCGAUCCGUAUCAAUAAAGAUAUUUUUUUUUUUAAAUUCUCCCCCCUCCCCCUUUUUGAGAAGGGGGGAGAGGGUGGGGGGCGCGCAGAGCGGGGCGCGCAGCCGGCGAGCCGAGCGCUGCCCCCGGUCCCGGGGAGGCGGGCCCCAGCGCCGCCCGCCGCCGGGGGGGGCCAGCCGCCCCAGACAGGUGAUGGGCGUUUCGGCUGCGCUCCGGAUCGACUCCUUGGGUUUCACUUUGGUCUGAUCUAAGCAAAUAUGCAGAAGUACCGGCUGGUCUAGUCCUAAGAGCCAAGAGGAGCGAGCGAGAGGAGCAGAGGAGAGCGGCCACGCUCCCGUAGCGAGGGGAACGUACAAACAGCCGUAAUUAAGCCACCGCCGCCCCGAGGCAGCCCCGGCCCGCCCUGGAUGCGGAGGACCCCCGCGCCGCCCCGCCGCCUUUCCCCUGAGGGAUGGUACUGAAUUUCUGCGCGGCAGGAGCCGGCCUGCAGCUCCCCUCCAUCGGCGUCGCCUUCCCUCCGUGUCUAAAGUGCACUAGACCGCGAUGAGGACCUGGGCUUGCGUUUUGCUGAUAGGUUUUGGCUACCUGUCCUUUACCGUCUCCGAGGAGGCCGAGAUCCCGCAGGAGCUCAUCGAGCGGCUGGCGCACAGCGAGAUCCACAGCAUCCGCGACUUGCAGCGCCUCCUGGAGCUUGACUCCGUAGGAUAUGAUGAUGUUUCAGAAACAAACCUGAGACCUUAUAGCGUCCACUCUGCUAAACAUGUGCGAGAGAAUCGUCCUGUGCCCAUUCGCAGAAAAAGAAGCAUUGAGGAAGCCAUCCCGGCUGUCUGCAAAACUCGGACGGUUAUAUAUGAGAUACCUCGGAGUCAGAUUGAUCCCACCUCUGCCAACUUCCUGAUAUGGCCACCCUGCGUGGAGGUGAAACGUUGCACUGGCUGUUGCAACACCAGCAGUGUGAAAUGCCAGCCAUCACGGAUACAUCAUAGAAGUGUCAAGGUGGCAAAAGUGGAAUAUGUUAGAAAAAAGCCAAAAUUAAAAGAAGUUCUGGUGAGAUUAGAAGAGCAUAUGGAAUGCACCUGUACAUCAUCAAAUACUAAUUCAGAUUAUAGAGAAGAAGAAACUGGAAGGCCUAGGGAAUCAGGUAAAAAACGGAAACGAAAAAAGUUAAAACCAACAUAAAACCUACUGGAACUAUUUGAUAUUCAGAUUAACAGGUAUUUAUUGGGAGUAGUAUGAUAGAAGCAAAGAUUUUCUAAAAUUCAACUUUAAAAGUGAGCAUGUAAACUCAAUCAAAACAGCAUUUAGAACUUCUUGUCCCAGAUGUAAGGUGAAAAUAAGCUAGAAAAAAAACUUCUCUCUGGGACAUGGAUGUACAUGGUUUGUUACAUUCCUGAACCUACUAUGUAUGGUGCUUAUUGACUGUAUACUUUAUUUGUUCUCCUAUGUGAAAAAUGGCUCAAAAGAACACUUAAUGAGAACAAAGAGACAAUGUACAUUUGUUUAAUGUGACAUCAAAGCAAGUAUUGUAGCACUCUGUGAAACAAUAGGAAGCUUCCCUGUCCAAAAAAGAAAAAAAAUGAAAGAAAGAAAUGCAGAAAAGAAAAAAAGACAGUUGAAUGAAUGGAGGAUACCAAAAGUACUCAAAAAAUGACAAAAAUCUAAGUGAAUAGUGGAUUUCUGUCAGAGCAGUCAACGGUGCUUUACGUCAAGAAAUGUGCCUGCGUUCUUGAUGAAGAUGGAUGGACACUGAUGGACUUCAGGCACAAAAAAAGCAGGAAUGUAUGAAAUGAUCAAAUGCCACGCAAACACUAUAGAACAAUACAUCCUGGCUUGGUGGUGUUUUAAAAGUCUAUUCAGAAAACCUUCUGGGGAGCCUUAAGUGGAUUUUUUUUUUUACACCAUAAAGUGAUUAUUAAGUUUUCUUUUUACUUUUUGCCUAGCUUUUUAUUAUCUCUUGGACUACAUUUGCCAAUAACACAUAUAAAAGACUGGUAUAACAAUAAGCAGAACACAAAACAUUAUGGUAUUUCUCCUAGUGGGAUGCAAACUAAUGAGAUGUAUUAAAAUAAAAAUGGUAUACCUAUGCAUAAUUUUCUAGACGUUUCUUGGUUUAUGUUCCCCAACCUCCCCCGUAAUUUAAAGCAUUACAUAAAAAGAAAAAAAGAGAAAAAAAGAGAGAUGUGCGUAAACAAAUCAUAGGAUAUCCAUGCAAAAAUCCUUUUUUUUUUUUCCUUUAAGACUUAUGCCAGUUGCCUACUAGUGAUGUUGUGUUAGCAAUUGUCAUUCUUAUCAGUAUACAGAUACUUUUAUUUCACCUGUUGGAGCUGUGUGAAAUGUACAAAUUCUUGUAUCUGCAUUGUACAAUGUCAUGGUGGCAUGGGAACUACCUUGCUGCAAAUAUUUGAACAAAACCUAAAAUUCUUUAUUUUUGGUAAAAUGUUAUGCUUUAUGUGUAUUCAACAGAAAUAUGUGUUUUUGUAAAGGUGAAGUUUGUAUUUUUAUCUAAAAAUUAACAGUUUUAUAUACCUGAGAAAGCCUGCUAUGUUUUCUUGAACCAAAAAAAAAAAAAAGAAAAAAAUUAAAAAAAAGAGCAUUUUGUGGUCAUAUUUUUGUAGUAGAAUAGCCCAAAUAACAUCAAAAUCUAUUUGAACUAUAGCAGGGCAGAUAAAAGACUCUGGCACCAGCUCCUGUGUUUUCAAAGUGCCAAAGGAUUAAAUGUUCAGUUCCCCACGGAUUGCAGUGGGAGCCACAUGGCUGAAUCCUUCUGUACUGCUUUGGAAAUUUAGGGCUGUGCCAGAUACGACAUGGCUACUCACUUGGCCAAAAUCGCUGCCCCGCCCCAGUAGUUUGGAUUACGUACCCUUUGUUUUGGUUGGAUUAUCACAUUGGAUAUGUAAAAUGAACUACUGGAUUCUUCCAGUUGUGAAACAUCUAAAGAGAUGAAAGAGUUUCCUUAGUUUGGAACGACUAAAAAGUUUGUCUUGAAGACAGUGUUUCCACUCAAAUAAAAAGAUAUCUUUAAAUGUGAAUGAACUGCAGAACCUUAAAACAACAAGAGAGAAAGAUAUUUUAACCUUUCCAUUUUGUUAAAUAUAGUUCAAACAUUCCCCUCCUGUUCCUGUAGCCAUGUCCAAUUUCAGCCACACAAAGCAAUGUUAGCUAACAGGCGUUAUUGGCUUCAGAUGCUAAUGCAGAGAUAGAGUUAGCCACCGGUCUAUUUUGUGAUCAUUUUCCCAGUGUAUUUGUUGAGCACCAAAACUGGAAAUACAUUUAACUGAGAUUGUCUGUGCUUGUUUUCCACUAAGUGUACUGUUCACGAUGUUAUGCACAUGAAUGUAUGUGUCUGCGUUUAAAAAAGUGUAUAAAAUGUAAUUUAUAUAUUUAUGUUUCAGUGGGAUGCCAAUAAUGUUGCUCCGUUCCUUUUUUGUCUAAAAGAUAUCUAAUGAAAAAACCAUAUAUCCAUUAAAAUCAUGUAGAUGAAAAGCAUUAUGUGACCCACUCAGACACUGUGCAGGUAUGAAAGGAUGUCAAAGUCACUUAAGUGGAAUAAUUUGCAAAACAACCUUUUGAGAGUCCUAUGGUUGCACUGGCCUGAGAAGGUUGCGUUCGGACCUGUGGGCCAGCUUCCCUGGAGUAACUCCGUUGAGCUUAAUGGAGUUCUGCUGAUUUACAUCACGAGCGAGUCUGGCCCUAUAUUAAAGUCUUGAAAAAAAGGCAAACUGAGAGGCAUGCAUUUGAUCGGUGCCAGCAAAUAAAUGUGUUAUGCCAAAUUCAGAAAACCAGGAGAGAAUGAAGACUGAAUGUAUUCUUUCCCAGUAGUUGUUUGUUUGAGUCUUGUAGUCUCGAGUUAAUUUUGUUACCAGGAAUGAAAUGCACGAGAGUCUUUGUUCUCAAGCGCAGUGUUUACACGGCAUGCAGCAGAAAACACAAAAAUCUCAGGGCUAUAUUCUCAGCUAGUAUAAAUUGGCAAAUGUUUUUGACUUCAGCUGCCCCUAAGCUAAUUUACAUCAGAUGAGGAUCCAGUCUGCGGUUUUUAAAAUACAAGGAGAGUGUCAUGACAUAGGUGUCAUUUACUGUCGUCCAGCUGAGGUAUUACCUGCUGGCCUUUCGAACGCCACAGGCUAUGGUGUUAGUCCUCCUUCUCCAAGGUGGCAGAUACAAUCAGAAGGAACAGUAACGUUUUAAAGGUUGUGACACAGGAGACAUUAAUUCAAAGUUAAGUUGGACAUUUCAAGGGCCAUAUCCUCAGCUGGUGUAAAUCACCAUCACUCCAUUGCCUGCAAUGGAGCUGUACCAGCUUACACCACUUGAGGGGCUGGUCCCUCAUUCUUGCUCAUCCCUUUCACUACUCGGUCCUGCAGGGAUCUCAGAUUGUCGUGUACUGUUAAUGUAAUCCUGUGUUCUCUAAUACUUAAGCACAAUAAGUGAAUAUAAGAAUGGGUGUCAGACUUAACUUUGAAUGUCCAAGCUCUGAAAUGGUUUGUUUCACCAUUGUGGCUGUAAAUUAAACAGUUCUCUGUG
Non-coding RNA from Phalacrocorax carbo (great cormorant), 4830 nucleotides. The record is from RefSeq and is a predicted model, not a curated record. Lineage: Eukaryota; Metazoa; Chordata; Aves; Suliformes; Phalacrocoracidae.